This 396-nucleotide long non-coding RNA is filed under the name Rhopalosiphum maidis (corn leaf aphid). RNAcentral describes it as "uncharacterized LOC113559879". The record is from RNAcentral. Lineage: Eukaryota; Metazoa; Arthropoda; Insecta; Hemiptera; Aphididae.
AUCAAUGAUUUAUUGCAAUUUCUUUUGUAAAGAUUAUUGAUUAUACCAGUACCGCGGAUUGUCAAUGUAAGCUGGGCAUGGAUCUUGCAUUUGUAAUACCUGUGAAACUACUAAUAUUCUAUCUACAUUGAAGAUGAACGAUAACAAUUACAUAAACAUCAAUGAUUUAUUGCAAUUUCUUUUGUAAAGAUUAUUGAUUAUACCACUACCGCGGAUUGUCAAUGUAAGCUGGGCAUGGAUCUUGCAUUUGUAAUACCUGUGAAACUACUAAUAUUCUAUCUACAUUGAAGAUGAACGAUAACAAUUACAUAAACAUCAAUGAUUUAUUGCAAUUUCUUUUGUAAAGAUUAUUGAUUAUACCACUACCGCGGAUUGUCAAUGUAAGCUGGGCAUGGA